Molecule: transfer RNA, 75 nt
Filed under: Fusobacterium ulcerans 12-1B
Lineage: Bacteria; Fusobacteriati; Fusobacteriota; Fusobacteriia; Fusobacteriales; Fusobacteriaceae
Description: tRNA-Lys
Rfam family: tRNA
About the family: Transfer RNA (tRNA) molecules are approximately 80 nucleotides in length. Their secondary structure includes four short double-helical elements and three loops (D, anti-codon, and T loops). Further hydrogen bonds mediate the characteristic L-shaped molecular structure. tRNAs have two regions of fundamental functional importance: the anti-codon, which is responsible for specific mRNA codon recognition, and the 3' end, to which the tRNAs corresponding amino acid is attached (by aminoacyl-tRNA synthetases). tRNAs cope with the degeneracy of the genetic code in two manners: having more than one tRNA (with a specific anti-codon) for a particular amino acid; and 'wobble' base-pairing, i.e. permitting non-standard base-pairing at the 3rd anti-codon position.
Source: RNAcentral
GGGAAUAUAGUUUAACUCGUAGGUAAAGCAACUACCUUUUAAGUAGUGAUAUAGGUUCGAAUCCUGUUAUUCCCU